RNAcentral lists this ribosomal RNA (490 nucleotides) under uncultured bacterium. RNAcentral's name for it is "partial 16S ribosomal RNA". It matches the Rfam family "Bacterial small subunit ribosomal RNA", at positions 30 to 507 of the family's 1533-position model. The record is from RNAcentral.
AUUGAACGCUGGCGGCAGGCCUAACACAUGCAAGUCGAACGGUAACAGGAAGAAGCUUGCUUCUUUGCUGACGAGUGACGGACGGGUGAGUAAUGUCUGGGAAACUGCCUGAUGGAGGGGGAUAACUACUGGAAACGGUAGCUAAUACCGCAUAACGUCGCAAGACCAAAGAGGGGGACCUUCGGGCCUCUUGCCAUCGGAUGUGCCCAGAUGGGAUUAGCUAGUAGGUGGGGUAACGGCUCACCUAGGCGACGAUCCCUAGCUGGUCUGAGAGGAUGACCAGCCACACUGGAACUGAGACACGGUCCAGACUCCUACGGGAGGCAGCAGUGGGGAAUAUUGCACAAUGGGCGCAAGCCUGAUGCAGCCAUGCCGCGUGUAUGAAGAAGGCCUUCGGGUUGUAAAGUACUUUCAGCGGGGAGGAAGGGAGUAAAGUUAAUACCUUUACUCAUUGACGUUACCCGCAGAAGAAGCACCGGCUAACUCCGUG